RNAcentral lists this ribosomal RNA (468 nucleotides) under uncultured bacterium. Its description in RNAcentral is "partial 16S ribosomal RNA". It matches the Rfam family "Bacterial small subunit ribosomal RNA", at positions 28 to 507 of the family's 1533-position model. The record is from RNAcentral.
GACGAACGCUGGCGGCGUGCUUAACACAUGCAAGUCGAACGGAAAGGCCCUGCUUUUGUGGGGUGCUCGAGUGGCGAACGGGUGAGUAACACGUGAGUAACCUGCCCUUGACUUUGGGAUAACUUCAUGAAACUGGGGCUAAUACCGGAUAGGAGCUCCUGCUGCAUGGUGGGGGUUGGAAAGUUUCGGCGGUUGGGGAUGGACUCGCGGCUUAUCAGCUUGUUGGUGGGGUAGUGGCUUACCAAGGCUUUGACGGGUAGCCGGCCUGAGAGGGUGACCGGCCAAAUUGGGACUGAGAUACGGCCCAGACUACUACGGGAGGCAGCAGUGGGGAAUAUUGCACAAUGGGCGGAAGCCUGAUGCAGCAACGCCGCGUGCGGGAUGACGGCCUUCGGGUUGUAAACCGCUUUCGCCUGUGACGAAGCGUGAGUGACGGUAAUGGGUAAAGAAGCACCGGCUAACUACGUG